UUGCAGGUUUGCACAGAGCAGACAGGCAGAGUUUAGGAGCCAAGAACCCAUGUGACUCCCAGAAAUUGAGAGAGAGGUUGAGAAGAAAAGUGCAAGAGAGAACUUGCUUGGUGGCAAAACGCAAACUCCACACAGGCUGGGUUCUGGCAGGUGACUUGGCUACCAGGUCUCCAUUUCUGACCUCCUCCUCCACCAUUUUCUACAAGAGAGGCUGCGUGGCUAACACAGUUAACUUCCCAGCUUCCCUGGCAGCAAGCAACGGCCAUCUGAUAGGUUCUGGGAAAUAGCCAGAAGUCCUCGUGAUCAGCUUCCCCAACAUAAACGCAAAGCCUUCCCAGAAGCAAACCCUCCAGUCUUUCACCUUUUCUCUUCCUUGCCUGGAAGUAGGUAGGAUGUGCCCCAUGUAGGGGCAGCAGCCUUCUUGAGACCAUGAGACAAUCAAAAAGAGCAUGAAGGUGUAUGCUGCAAGCUUGGAAGAACAAAAAAGAGGCAGAGUUCAGCCUGUUGGCCGUCUCUUUGAGCUACCCUGCUGCCCUGGUAGCAGGAGAAAGAAACCUCUGUCUGUUUCAAGACUCCUGACCAAGGCUUGGGUUAUGGCUCAGUGGCAGAGCCACAUAAAAAGAAGUAGAUAAUAUAAAGGUCCAUGGACAACUAAAACACUUAUUUAAAAAAAGAAAAACGAACAGAAAACUCGUGACCCAUCUGGGAAGUUCCUUAUUUUGCUGUUGUCUAUUGUGAUCCAGGAACUGUACCUGGCGCAGAGUUGGUCUCUUUAUCAAGUUCUAAAUGAAUAGCUGCCUUCUCUGCUGAAGACCAGUUCCGAGACCACCUGAGCUUUGUGCUGAGCCGCCCCUUUUACUUAACAUGCAUUGGCUGGUUCCUUUUUCUUGCGGCCCCAAUUCUAAUCAAGACAGUCAGGACCGGCUACCUGAGGGGUGGGCAGAGGAUGGGCCUCAGGGAAGAUUCUAGAUGCCGUGAUGGCUUCCCCACUUACUUAGGGUCCCCUCUGUCCAUUUUCCACACUGGAGCAGACAAUUUAGAAACAAAUCAGAUCUUGCCCUUCCCUAUUCAAAUUCAGGUCCACCCUGAAUGCCCCCUCCCCUCCUUCAGCAUUCUGCUCAAAUGCCACCUCCUCUGAGAAGCCCUCCCUGAACACCAGGUAAAACUAUUCCCACCCAGCCAUGCUGCACCCUUCCCUCCUGAAAGCAUCUCGCUGCACCCCCUCCAUUCUUCUGUUUGCUUAUUUAAUGUUCGUUUCCUACCUCUAGAUGUUAAGCCUCCUGAGGGCAGGAAUUGCUGCUCACUGACUGGCAUAGGUGGGAUAAGAAAAUAAAUGCCUGCUAUGAGGGCUCAGUGGCUAUGCCUGUGAUCCCAGUGACUUGGAAGGCUGAGGCAGGAGGAUGGCAAAUUCAAGGCCAGCUUCAGCAACUUAGGGAGGGCCUGUUUCAAAAUAAAAAAUAAAAAGGACUGGGGAUAUAGUUUGACGGCAGAGCACCCCUGGGUUCAAACUGCAAAAAUUUUUUUAACAAUGCAUGUUGAAAGGCUAAAUACUUAAG
This 1556-nucleotide long non-coding RNA is filed under the name Marmota monax (woodchuck). The record is from RNAcentral. Lineage: Eukaryota; Metazoa; Chordata; Mammalia; Rodentia; Sciuridae.